CUCUUAUCCAGAGAGGCUGAGGGACUGGCCCAAUGACGCCCGGCAACCGGUUUUAAGCGGAAAGGCUUAAAAACGCGGUGCCAAUUCCUGCAGAGCUUUAAAAGCUCUGAGAGAUAAGAU
This 120-nucleotide non-coding RNA is filed under the name Schnuerera ultunensis. RNAcentral describes it as "Clostridium ultunense SAM-I sequence". It matches the Rfam family "SAM riboswitch aptamer (S box leader)". Rfam says of the family: The SAM riboswitch is found upstream of a number of genes which code for proteins involved in methionine or cysteine biosynthesis in Gram-positive bacteria. The SAM riboswitch acts at the level of transcription termination control. The record is from RNAcentral. RNAcentral also lists the same sequence under 1 other name. Lineage: Bacteria; Bacillati; Bacillota; Tissierellia; Tissierellales; Tepidimicrobiaceae.